Molecule: ribosomal RNA, 666 nt
Filed under: uncultured Thelephora
Lineage: Eukaryota; Fungi; Basidiomycota; Agaricomycetes; Thelephorales; Thelephoraceae
Description: eukaryotic LSU rRNA
Rfam family: 5.8S ribosomal RNA (bases 230-384)
Source: RNAcentral
UCCGUAAGGGUGACCUGCGGAAGGAUCAUUACUGAAUUGUCAAACGGGUUGUUGCUGGCCCUCAUAGGGGGCAUGUGCACGCUCUGUUUACACAUCCACUCACACCUGUGCACCCUCUGUAGUUCUAUGGUCUGGGGGACCCUGUCUUCCUUCUGUGGUUCUACGUCUUUACACACACACUGUAACAAAGUUUUAUGGAAUGUACAUCGCGUCUAACGCAAUACAAUACAACUUUCAGCAACGGAUCUCUUGGCUCUCGCAUCGAUGAAGAACGCAGCGAAAUGCGAUAAGUAAUGUGAAUUGCAGAAUUCAGUGAAUCAUCGAAUCUUUGAACGCACCUUGCGCCCCUUGGCUAUUCCGAGGGGCAUGCCUGUUUGAGUAUCAUGAACACCUCAACUCUCAUGGUUUGCCAUGAUGAGUUGGACUCUGGGGGUUUUGCUGGCCUGUGGUCGGCUCCUCUCAAAUUAAUCAGCCUCCCAGUGUUUGGUGGCAUCACGGGUGUGAUAAAUAUCUACGCUCGCUGUUGUCUGCCAGGUAACCUUUGGUCACAAAGGUUUGCUGGAGCUCACAGAUGUCUCUCCUCAGCGAGGACAGCUUUUUUAACGUUCGAUCUCAAAUCAGGUAGGACUACCCGCUGAACUUAAGCAUAUCAUAAGGCCGGAAGGA